This 253-nucleotide ribosomal RNA is filed under the name uncultured bacterium. RNAcentral describes it as "partial 16S ribosomal RNA". It matches the Rfam family "Bacterial small subunit ribosomal RNA", at positions 524 to 776 of the family's 1533-position model. The record is from RNAcentral.
UACGGAGGGGGCUAGCGUUGUUCGGAAUUACUGGGCGUAAAGCGCACGUAGGCGGUUUUUUAAGUCAGAUGUGAAAGCCCCGGGCUCAACCUGGGAAUUGCAUUUGAAACUGGCCAACUAGAGUACGUGAGAGGGGGGUAGAAUUCCAAGUGUAGCGGUGAAAUGCGUAGAGAUUUGGAGGAAUACCAGUGGCGAAGGCGGCCCCCUGGCACGAUACUGACGCUCAGGUGCGAAAGCGUGGGGAGCAAACAGG